GAAAUGCGAUAAGUAAUGUGAAUUGCAGAAUUCCGUGAAUCAUCGAAUCUUUGAACGCACAUUGCGCCCUCUGGUAUUCCGGGGGACAUGCCUGUCCGAGCGUCAUUGCGAACCCCUCAAGCACGGCUUGUGUGAUGGGCCCUCCCGCGUCUUGGUCGUCAAGACGGGCCCGAAAUGCAGUGGCGGCUUCGCGGUUAUCCGAUCAGCCAGAGCGUAUGGGGACUUUCUCUCUGUCACACGCCCGCGGCGCGGACCGACGCCUGUCGACCUUCAUUCAUCGUUUUCUCGGUUGACCUCGGAUCAGGUAGGGAUACCCGCUGAACUUAAGC
RNAcentral lists this unclassified non-coding RNA (329 nucleotides) under plant metagenome. RNAcentral's name for it is "partial contains 5.8S ribosomal RNA, internal transcribed spacer 2, and large subunit ribosomal RNA". The stretch from base 1 to 105 matches the Rfam family "5.8S ribosomal RNA", at positions 50 to 154 of the family's 154-position model. The record is from RNAcentral.